Molecule: microRNA precursor, 102 nt
Filed under: Fragaria vesca subsp. vesca
Lineage: Eukaryota; Viridiplantae; Streptophyta; Magnoliopsida; Rosales; Rosaceae
Description: Fragaria vesca miR11312 stem-loop (fve-MIR11312)
Rfam family: MIR473 microRNA precursor family (bases 10-94)
Source: miRBase by way of RNAcentral
CAAGGCAUUUUCGUUAACUCUCCCUCAAGGGCUUCUAGCAAUGCCGGAACACACAUAAGGCAAGCUUGGAGCUGUUGGGGAGAGUUAACAAAAAGUGUCUUG